GAAGUCGUUCAGCAGUUUCUGUGUGUAUUGCCAACGUGUCAGGUUGCUUAUUUUAGCGUCUUGCAGGUUCACAUCAGGCACAGUUACAGGGGGUUCA
Molecule: non-coding RNA, 97 nt
Organism: Bombyx mori (domestic silkworm)
Lineage: Eukaryota; Metazoa; Arthropoda; Insecta; Lepidoptera; Bombycidae
Source: RefSeq, marked provisional